RNAcentral lists this ribosomal RNA (253 nucleotides) under uncultured bacterium. Its description in RNAcentral is "partial 16S ribosomal RNA". It matches the Rfam family "Bacterial small subunit ribosomal RNA", at positions 524 to 776 of the family's 1533-position model. The record is from RNAcentral.
UACGAGGGGUGCAAGCGUUGCUCGGAAUUAUUGGGCGUAAAGGGUAGGUAGGUGGUCUCAUUUGUCUGGGGUGAAAGCCUUGAGCUUAACUCAAGAAGUGCCCUAGAAACGGUGAGACUGGAGUCUUGGAGAGGGUCGUGGAAUUUCCGGUGUAGCGGUGAAAUGCGUAGAGAUCCGGAAGAACACCAGUGGCGAAGGCGGCCCGCUGGGCAGUGGCUGACGCUGAGGCGCGACAGCGUGGGGAGCAAACAGG